Molecule: long non-coding RNA, 940 nt
Organism: Canis lupus familiaris (dog)
Lineage: Eukaryota; Metazoa; Chordata; Mammalia; Carnivora; Canidae
Exons: 2
Source: RefSeq, a predicted model, not a curated record
GUCAUCACAAGCUCAUGAAGAAAUACAGAAGUUUGUGAUCCUGGUGGGAAGACCAUAGAACAAAGAAAGCAAAAUUAGGCAAAAUUAAACACAAACCUGUGGGAAGAAGAGAUCAUCAUGAACUCAGGAAGGCUGCACAAGGUAGUCGAGGAGAUGAAGCUAAACCACAUGCAGCAACAACAGCAACGUAAGACCACGUACCACCGAACGCUGGGCUGGCUGUGACAUUCUGUAAAUGGUGUGAGAAAUGGAGAGGGAAAGUUUCUGGAAAUGGUUGCCAAAGGCAGGUUGGACUUCACAGAGAUGCAAAGACAUCAGCUGACUCCUGGAGAAUGUGUAGAACUCACACCCCAACCCAGAUGCCUCUGGGUACCUUGAAGGAAAGACCCAUCAGGGAACUAUUGAAAACUAUGGGUAAGCUGACCACAUUUUCCAUAAAAAUGUCAGAACACAUGGCCUGACACAUGGUCUAACACCAGGAAAGAAUAUUUUAAACGAAGGCUGUUCCAGAAAAUCUACAGCAUAUGGUUACUCAAUUUAUGGGCCAAGAAAAUCCUAACUACAAUAGAGGACUGAGCUGACCCACCCUAGGUAGACAAAACAUAGCCACUACCAUCUGAGAAGCUCUGAGUUAUUUCCUCACUGUCAUCAGAGUUCACGUUCGUGUUGAAGUUUCUGUUCAUCUCUUCAGAGGAAAGUUCCAUGCCUCAACAAUAAAAAAACAAGCCAGAGAAUUUAUAUUCAGAUUUCUUAAAUUAUGUUCUUUAAUUUUCUCUCAAUUUACUUAAAUAAUUUUUGUGUUAGGCAGGAUAUAUGAAUAAUGGAUAUAAAAAUGUUUCUUCUACCUGGGACAAUAAAAUAAAAUCCAAUGAAAAGUUUCCCUCCCUAUAAGAAAAAGAGAAAAAAAAAAAAAAAAAGAAAGAAAGAAAGAAAAAGAGGA